AGGCCUAUCAGUAUCCUGAGUAGGGCGGGACACGUGAAAUCCCGUUUGAAUCCGCGAGGACCAUCUCGCAAGGCUAAAUACUAACCAGUGACCGAUAGUGAACCAGUACCGUGAGGGAAAGGUGAAAAGAACCCCGGGAGGGGAGUGAAAGAGAACCUGAAACCGUGUGCCUACAAGUAGUCAGAGCCCGUUAACGGGUAAUGGCGUGCCUUUUGUAGAAUGAACCGGCGAGUUGCGUUAGUCAGCAAGGUUAAGUCAGAAAA
Molecule: ribosomal RNA, 263 nt
Filed under: Lactobacillus delbrueckii subsp. bulgaricus
Lineage: Bacteria; Bacillati; Bacillota; Bacilli; Lactobacillales; Lactobacillaceae
Description: partial 23S ribosomal RNA
Rfam family: Bacterial large subunit ribosomal RNA
Source: RNAcentral